This 253-nucleotide ribosomal RNA is filed under the name uncultured bacterium. RNAcentral's name for it is "partial 16S ribosomal RNA". It matches the Rfam family "Bacterial small subunit ribosomal RNA", at positions 524 to 776 of the family's 1533-position model. The record is from RNAcentral.
UACGUAGGGCGCAAGCGUUGUCCGGAAUUAUUGGGCGUAAAGAGCUCGUAGGCGGCUUGUCACGUCGGGUGUGAAAGCUCGGGGCUUAACCCCGGGUCUGCAUUCGAUACGGGCAGGCUAGAGUGUGGUAGGGGAGAUCGGAAUUCCUGGUGUAGCGGUGAAAUGCGCAGAUAUCAGGAGGAACACCGGUGGCGAAGGCGGAUCUCUGGGCCAUUACUGACGCUGAGGAGCGAAAGCGUGGGGAGCGAACAGG